This 255-nucleotide ribosomal RNA is filed under the name uncultured bacterium. RNAcentral's name for it is "partial 16S ribosomal RNA". It matches the Rfam family "Bacterial small subunit ribosomal RNA", at positions 524 to 776 of the family's 1533-position model. The record is from RNAcentral.
UACGUAGGGUGCGAGCGUUGUCCGGAAUUAUUGGGCGUAAAGAGCUUGUAGGUGGUUUGUCGCGUCUGCUGUGAAAAUCCGAGGCUCAACCUCGGACUUGCAGUGGGUACGGGCAGACUAGAGUGUGGUAGGGGAGACUGGAAUUCCGUGGUGUAGCGGUGGAAUGCGCAGAUAUCAGGAAGAACACCCGUGGCUAAGGCGGCUCUCUAGUACGGUACUGACGCUGAGACGCGAAAGCGUGGGGGAGCGAACAGG